This 396-nucleotide ribosomal RNA is filed under the name uncultured bacterium. RNAcentral's name for it is "bacterial SSU rRNA". It matches the Rfam family "Bacterial small subunit ribosomal RNA", at positions 335 to 724 of the family's 1533-position model. The record is from RNAcentral.
ACUCCUACGGGAGGCAGCAGUGGGAAUAUUGCACAAUGGGGGAAAUCCUGAUGCAGCCAUGCCGCGUGUGUGAAGAAGGCCUUCGGGUUGUAAAGCACUUUCAGUAGGGAGGAAGGUAGUGUAGUUAACACCUGCAUUAUUUGACGUUACCUACAGAAGAAGCACCGGCUAACUCCGUGCCAGCAGCCGCGGUAAUACGGAGGGUGCGAGCGUUAAUCGGAAUUACUGGGCGUAAAGCGCAUGCAGGCGGCCUGUUAAGUCAGAUGUGAAAGCCCGGGGCUUAACCUCGGAAUUGCAUUUGAAACUGGCAGGCUAGAGUCUUGUAGAGGGGGUGAGAAUUUCAGGUGUAGCGGUGAAAUGCGUAGAGAUCUGAAGGAAUACCAGUGGCGAAGGCGG